RNAcentral lists this long non-coding RNA (269 nucleotides) under Mytilus galloprovincialis (Mediterranean mussel). Lineage: Eukaryota; Metazoa; Mollusca; Bivalvia; Mytilida; Mytilidae. The record is from RNAcentral.
UUGGUGGAUUUUCAAUAGAAGAAAUUAUAACUUUAUUUAUAAAAAUUAUAGAUUUUCCAUUUUUUUUUUUUAUUUCGUUUCUUACUCUAUUUUCUGUUUCUUCUAUAAGUUUUUUUCUUUCAUCUUCUCCUAAAGUAGUUAAACUUUUUCCUUUUAGGAAAUUUUCCAUUUUUCCUUUUUGGGAAUUUUUUUUCAUUUCAUUAAAUUUUUCUUGCUCUUCUAAAAUAAGUUUAAAUUCUUCUUCACUUAUUUUGUUGUCAGUUAAAGAC